RNAcentral lists this ribosomal RNA (253 nucleotides) under uncultured bacterium. RNAcentral describes it as "partial 16S ribosomal RNA". It matches the Rfam family "Bacterial small subunit ribosomal RNA", at positions 524 to 776 of the family's 1533-position model. The record is from RNAcentral.
UACAGAGGUCUCAAGCGUUGUUCGGAUUCAUUGGGCGUAAAGGGUGCGUAGGUGGCGCCAUAAGUCGGGUGUGAAAUCUCGGGGCUUAACUCCGAAACUGCAUUCGAUACUGUGGUGCUUGAGGACUGGAGAGGAGACUGGAAUUCAUGGUGUAGCAGUGAAAUGCGUAGAGAUCAUGAGGAAGACCAGUGGCGAAGGCGGGUCUCUGGACAGUGACUGACGCUGAGACGCGAAAGCGUGGGGAGCAAACAGG